Molecule: microRNA precursor, 70 nt
Filed under: Trypanosoma vivax Y486
Lineage: Eukaryota; Euglenozoa; Kinetoplastea; Trypanosomatida; Trypanosomatidae
Source: RNAcentral
UUAAAGUGCGAUGUAAGUGGAGUUGUGUACGAUUGCAAUUAUGUAAAACUCCGCUUGCAUCGCACUUUCA